AUUGAACGCUGGCGGCAGGCCUAACACAUGCAAGUCGAACGAAUAGCGGAAGGGUGGAUAAUGUCUGGGAAACUGCGCGAUGGAGGGGGAUAAGGAGUGGAAACGGUAGCUAAUACCGCAUACCAUCCGGUCUGCCCUGAUGGGAUUAGCGAGCCGGUGGGGUAAAGGCUCACCUAGGCGACACUCCCUAGCUGGUCUGAGAGGAUGACCAGCCACACUGGAACUGAGACACGGUCCAGACUCCUACGGGAGGCAGCAGUGGGGAAUAUUGCACAAUGGGCGCAAGCCUGAUGCAGCCAUGCCGCGUGUAUGAAGAAGGCCUUCGGUUCGUAAAGUACUUUCAGCCAGGACGCGUUACUCGCAGAAGAAGCACCGGCUAACUCCGUGCCAGCAGCCGCGGUAAUAC
Molecule: ribosomal RNA, 406 nt
Filed under: uncultured bacterium
Lineage: Bacteria
Description: partial 16S ribosomal RNA
Rfam family: Bacterial small subunit ribosomal RNA
Source: RNAcentral